CGGAGGGUGCAAGCGUUGUCCGGAUUUAUUGGGUUUAAAGGGUGCGUAGGCGGCCUUGUAAGUCAGUGGUGAAAGCCUCCAGCUCAACUGGAGAACUGCCAUUGAUACUGCAAGGCUUGAGUACAGACGAGGUUGGCGGAAUUGAUUGUGUAGCGGUGAAAUGCAUAGAUACAAUCAAGAACUCCGAUUGCGUAGGCAGCUAACUAGGCUGUAACUGACGCUGAGGCACGAAAGCGUGGGGAGCGAACAGGAUUAGAUACCCUGGUAGUCCACGCCGUAAACGAUGAUUACUCGAUGUUGGCGAUAAACUGUCAGCGUCUUAGCGAAAGCGUUAAGUAAUCCACCUGGGGAGUACGCCCGCAAGGGUG
Molecule: ribosomal RNA, 368 nt
Filed under: uncultured organism
Description: bacterial SSU rRNA
Rfam family: Bacterial small subunit ribosomal RNA
Source: RNAcentral